UUUAAUGGGAAUGAUGAAGAAGA
Molecule: non-coding RNA, 23 nt
Filed under: Cricetulus griseus (Chinese hamster)
Lineage: Eukaryota; Metazoa; Chordata; Mammalia; Rodentia; Cricetidae
Source: RNAcentral